ACAUGAAGAAUGGGCAGGGCUUUG
RNAcentral lists this non-coding RNA (24 nucleotides) under Cricetulus griseus (Chinese hamster). The record is from RNAcentral. Lineage: Eukaryota; Metazoa; Chordata; Mammalia; Rodentia; Cricetidae.